This 69-nucleotide transfer RNA is filed under the name Pronothobranchius seymouri. RNAcentral describes it as "tRNA-His". It matches the Rfam family "tRNA". Rfam says of the family: Transfer RNA (tRNA) molecules are approximately 80 nucleotides in length. Their secondary structure includes four short double-helical elements and three loops (D, anti-codon, and T loops). The record is from RNAcentral. Lineage: Eukaryota; Metazoa; Chordata; Actinopteri; Cyprinodontiformes; Nothobranchiidae.
GUGAGCAUAGUUUAAACAAAACACAAGGUUGUGAUCCUUAAAAUAAAGGUUAAAACCCUUUUACUCACA